This 433-nucleotide ribosomal RNA is filed under the name uncultured bacterium. RNAcentral describes it as "partial 16S ribosomal RNA". It matches the Rfam family "Bacterial small subunit ribosomal RNA", at positions 29 to 507 of the family's 1533-position model. The record is from RNAcentral.
AACGAACGCUGGCGGCAUGCCUAACACAUGCAAGUCGAACGAGACCGUCGGGCCUAGGGGCGCACGGGGGCGUAACGCGUGGGAAGCUGCCCUUAGGUUCGGUAUAAUUCCCCGAAGGGUAUCUUAAGACCGGUUAAUCUCAUCCGACAAAGGAUUUUCUGCUUUGGGGUGGGGCCGGGUUGGAUUAGUUGGUUGGUAGGGUAUAAGCAUAUCAUGGGGACGAUCCAUAGCUGGUCUGAGAGGAUGAUUAGCCACACUGGGACUGCGACACGGACCAGAGUCCUACGCAAGGCAGCAGUGGGGAAUAUUGGACGAUGGGCGAUAGCCUGAUCCAGCAGUGCCGGGUGAGUGAUGAAGGGCUUAGGGUUGUAAAGCUCUUUUACCCGGGAUGAUAAUGACAGUACCGGGAGAAUAAGCACCGGCUAACUCCGUG